GCUAUGUCUCAACAGCCUAUCCAGGUGAUAUAUUAUGCUUUUAUCUUUUUGCUACAGAAUAUUGUUAGGUGAAGCAUUUAGCGUCUGCGAUUGUUUUGUUUCUUCUAAUGAAAAAUCACAUAUUUUAGCAUCAACGAAUUUAGAGGGUGAUUUGCCAUAGUAAAAAAAGGUUUCUUAUGAACAGCAAAAUCAAAGAGAGAAGGAUUUUGUUUUGAAUUAUAUUGGCAAUGCUGCUGAGCUUUACCUUUCUUUCUUUCUUUCUU
Molecule: unclassified non-coding RNA, 263 nt
Filed under: Hevea brasiliensis (rubber tree)
Lineage: Eukaryota; Viridiplantae; Streptophyta; Magnoliopsida; Malpighiales; Euphorbiaceae
Source: RNAcentral